UCCCCGGUAGCUCAGUUGGUAGAGCGGGCGGCUGUUAACCGCCAGGUCCCAGGUUCGAUCCCUGGCCGGGGAGCCU
Molecule: transfer RNA, 76 nt
Filed under: Planctomycetota bacterium
Lineage: Bacteria; Pseudomonadati; Planctomycetota
Description: Planctomycetes bacterium (hot springs metagenome) tRNA-Asn
Rfam family: tRNA
About the family: Transfer RNA (tRNA) molecules are approximately 80 nucleotides in length. Their secondary structure includes four short double-helical elements and three loops (D, anti-codon, and T loops). Further hydrogen bonds mediate the characteristic L-shaped molecular structure. tRNAs have two regions of fundamental functional importance: the anti-codon, which is responsible for specific mRNA codon recognition, and the 3' end, to which the tRNAs corresponding amino acid is attached (by aminoacyl-tRNA synthetases). tRNAs cope with the degeneracy of the genetic code in two manners: having more than one tRNA (with a specific anti-codon) for a particular amino acid; and 'wobble' base-pairing, i.e. permitting non-standard base-pairing at the 3rd anti-codon position.
Source: RNAcentral